Molecule: ribosomal RNA, 491 nt
Filed under: uncultured bacterium
Lineage: Bacteria
Description: partial 16S ribosomal RNA
Rfam family: Bacterial small subunit ribosomal RNA
Source: RNAcentral
AGUGAACGCUGGCGGUAGGCCUAACACAUGCAAGUCGAACGGCAGCACAGUGAGAUCGUGCUCUUACGGGUGGCGAGUGGCGGGCGGGUGAGGAAUACAUCAGAAUCUACUUUUUCUUGGGGGAUAACGGAGGGACACAUACGCUAAUACCUCAUACAAUCUACCGGUUGAUGCAGUGGAGCUUCGGGCCUUUCGCGAUUCAUUUAGCCGGUGUCGGGUUAGCUAGUUGGGGGGGUAAAGGCCAACCAUGGCGACGAUACGUAGCUGGUCUGAGAGGAUGGUCAGCCACCCUGGACCUGAGACACGGCCCAGACUCCAACGGGAGGCAGAAGUGGGGAAUAUUGGACAAUGGGCGAAAGCCUGAUCCAGCCAGACCGCGGGGGUGAAGAAGGCCUUCGGGUUGUAAAGCCCUUUUGUUGGGAAAGAAAAGCAGCAGGUUAAUACCCCGCUGUUCUGCCGGAACCAAAAGAAUAGACACCGGUAAACUUCGU